AGUGAACGCUGGCGGUAGGCCUAACACAUGCAAGUCGAACGGCAGCACAGUAAGAGCUUGCUCUUACGGGUGGCGAGUGGCGGACGGGUGAGGAAUACAUCGGAAUCUACUUUUUCGUGGGGGAUAACGUAGGGAAACUUACGCUAAUACCGCAUACGACCUACGGGUGAAAGCAGGGGAUCUUCGGACCUUGCGCGAUUGAAUGAGCCGAUGUCGGAUUAGCUAGUUGGCGGGGUAAAGGCCCACCAAGGCGACGAUCCGUAGCUGGUCUGAGAGGAUGAUCAGCCACACUGGAACUGAGACACGGUCCAGACUCCUACGGGAGGCAGCAGUGGGGAAUAUUGGACAAUGGGCGCAAGCCUGAUCCAGCCAUACCGCGUGGGUGAAGAAGGCCUUCGGGUUGUAUAGCCCUUUUGUUGGGAAAGAAAAGCAGCAGGUUAAUACCCCGCUGUUCUGACGGUACCCAAAGAAUAAGCACCGGCUAACUUCGUG
Molecule: ribosomal RNA, 492 nt
Filed under: uncultured bacterium
Lineage: Bacteria
Description: partial 16S ribosomal RNA
Rfam family: Bacterial small subunit ribosomal RNA
Source: RNAcentral